Zalophus californianus (California sea lion) is the source of this 128-nucleotide small nucleolar RNA. The record is from Ensembl. NCBI's taxonomy places the organism in Eukaryota, Metazoa, Chordata, Mammalia, Carnivora, Otariidae.
AGCCUUUGUGUUGUCCCUUCACUUUUGGAAACUAGCGAAUGUGGUGUCAAAAAAGGCGGAACGCUUUGCAGCCUUUUCCUGUCCUUGAAUUGGAUAUUGUUGGUGUAGGAGCUGCAUAAGUAACAGUU